UAUAAGAUGUAGACAUCCGCUAAGAACGGUUUUUACGAAACUCGACCCCUAAGGGGGUAAAACGGGGGUUGCAAGUUUGUAUGAAAGUCCUAUGUUUUUGAAGUAAGAGACUUGAAAUUUAAAAUGUAUGCUCUAUAGAUGAUGAGAAGGUGUCCAAAUAAUGUAUCUUUAGAAAUCAACUCCCUUUUGGGGUUAAAACUGGGGAUGGUAGGUUGACUCACUCAUCACGGAAUCUCCGAAACUAUAAAACCUACAACCUUGAAAUUUGGCAGGAAGGCUCCUUAUAGGGCGUAGACAUCCGCUAAGAACAAAUUUUACGAAAUUCGACCCCUAAGGGGGUA
Molecule: unclassified non-coding RNA, 341 nt
Filed under: Melitaea cinxia (Glanville fritillary)
Lineage: Eukaryota; Metazoa; Arthropoda; Insecta; Lepidoptera; Nymphalidae
Description: misc RNA ENSMCXG00005022365.1
Source: RNAcentral